GAUGAACGCUGGCGGCGUGCCUAAUACAUGCAAGUCGAACGCUUCUUUUCCCACCGGAGCUUGCUCCACCGGAAAAAGAGGAGUGGCGAACGGGUGAGUAACACGUGGGUAACCUGCCCAUCAGAAGGGGAUAACACUUGGAAACAGGUGCUAAUACCGUAUAACAAUCGAAACCGCAUGGUUUUGAUUUGAAAGGCGCUUUCGGGUGUCGCUGAUGGAUGGACCCGCGGUGCAUUAGCUAGUUGGUGAGGUAACGGCUCACCAAGGCCACGAUGCAUAGCCGACCUGGGAGGGUGAUCGGCCACAUUGGGACUGAGACACGGCCCAAACUCCUACGGGAGGCAGCAGUAGGGAAGCUUCGGCAAUGGACGAAAGUCUGACCGAGCAACGCCGCGUGAGUGAAGAAGGUUUUCGGAUCGUAAAACUCUGUUGUUAGAGAAGAACAAGGAUGAGAGUAACUGUUCAUCCCUUGACGGUAUCUAACCAGAAAGCCACGGCUAACUACGUGCCAGCCGCCGCAGUAA
This 524-nucleotide ribosomal RNA is filed under the name uncultured bacterium. RNAcentral describes it as "partial 16S ribosomal RNA". It matches the Rfam family "Bacterial small subunit ribosomal RNA", at positions 28 to 523 of the family's 1533-position model. The record is from RNAcentral.